RNAcentral lists this ribosomal RNA (519 nucleotides) under uncultured eukaryote. RNAcentral describes it as "SSU rRNA". It matches the Rfam family "Eukaryotic small subunit ribosomal RNA", at positions 1161 to 1699 of the family's 1831-position model. The record is from RNAcentral.
AGGGCACCACCAGGAGUGGAGCCUGCGGCUUGAUUUGACUCAACACGGGAAAUCUCACCAGGCCCGGACACCGGAAGGAUUGACUGAUUGAGAGCUCUUUCUUGAUUCGGUGGGUGGUGGUGCAUGGCCGUUCUUAGUUGGUGGAGCGAUUUGUCUGGUUAAUUCCGAUAACGAACGAGACUCUAGCCUACUAAAUAGAUCGUCGGCUUACAAACGCUGAUGAGACUUCUUAGAGGGACAGGCGGCGAUUCAGCCGCACGAAACAGAGCAAUAACAGGUCUGUGAUGCCCUUAGAUGUCCGGGGCCGCACGCGCGCUACACUGAAGUGAUCAGCGUGCAUUUUCAGCCUACUCUGCUAAGAGUGGGAAACCCAAUGAACCUUCUUCGUGAUUGGGAUAGGAGAUUGUAAUUAUUCUCCUUGAACGAGGAAUUCCCAGUAAGCGCGAGUCAUAAGCUCGCGUUGAUUACGUCCCUGCCCUUUGUACACACCGCCCGUCGCUACUACCGAUUGAAUGUUUU